This 200-nucleotide ribosomal RNA is filed under the name uncultured organism. RNAcentral's name for it is "partial small subunit ribosomal RNA". It matches the Rfam family "Bacterial small subunit ribosomal RNA", at positions 1184 to 1382 of the family's 1533-position model. The record is from RNAcentral.
GUCAAGUCAUCAUGGCCCUUACGCCUAGAGCUACACACGUGCUACAAUGGUGCAUACAGAGGGCAGCGAGCUAGUGAUAGUAAGCGAAUCUCAGAAAGUGCAUCUCAGUUCGGAUCGGAGUCUGCAACUCGACUCCGUGAAGUUGGAAUCGCUAGUAAUCGCAUAUCAGCCAUGAUGCGGUGAAUACGUUCCCGGGCCUU